This 491-nucleotide ribosomal RNA is filed under the name uncultured Rhodococcus sp. RNAcentral describes it as "bacterial SSU rRNA". It matches the Rfam family "Bacterial small subunit ribosomal RNA", at positions 891 to 1382 of the family's 1533-position model. Lineage: Bacteria; Bacillati; Actinomycetota; Actinomycetes; Mycobacteriales; Nocardiaceae. The record is from RNAcentral.
GCUCAGAAACUCAAAGGAAUUGACGGGGGCCCGCACAAGCGGCGGAGCAUGUGGAUUAAUUCGAUGCAACGCGAAGAACCUUACCUGGGUUUGACAUACACCGGAAAACCGUAGAGAUACGGUCCCCCUUGUGGUCGGUGUACAGGUGGUGCAUGGCUGUCGUCAGCUCGUGUCGUGAGAUGUUGGGUUAAGUCCCGCAACGAGCGCAACCCUUGUCUUAUGUUGCCAGCACGUGAUGGUGGGGACUCGUAAGAGACUGCCGGGGUCAACUCGGAGGAAGGUGGGGACGACGUCAAGUCAUCAUGCCCCUUAUGUCCAGGGCUUCACACAUGCUACAAUGGCCAGUACAGAGGGCUGCGAGACCGUGAGGUGGAGCGAAUCCCUUAAAGCUGGUCUCAGUUCGGAUCGGGGUCUGCAACUCGACCCCGUGAAGUCGGAGUCGCUAGUAAUCGCAGAUCAGCAACGCUGCGGUGAAUACGUUCCCGGGCCUU